AUACGUAGGGGGCGAGCGUUGUCCGGAAUGAUUGGGCGUAAAGGGCGCGUAGGCGGCCCGGUAAGUCUGGAGUGAAAGUCCUGUUUUUAAGAUGGGAAUUGCUUUGGAUACUGUCGGGCUUGAGUGCAGGAGAGGUAAGUGGAAUUCCCAGUGUAGCGGUGAAAUGCGUAGAGAUUGGGAGGAACACCAGUGGCGAAGGCGACUUACCGGACUGUAACUGACGCUGAGGCGCGAAAGUGUGGGGAGCAAACAGGAUUAGAUACCCUGGUAGUCCACACUGUAAACGAUGAAUGCUAGGUGUAGGGGGUAUCGACCCCUUCUGUGCCGCAGUCAACACAAUAAGCAUUCCGCCUGGGGAGUACGGCCGCAAGGUUGAAACUCAAAGGAAUUGACGGGG
This 397-nucleotide ribosomal RNA is filed under the name uncultured bacterium. RNAcentral's name for it is "partial 16S ribosomal RNA". It matches the Rfam family "Bacterial small subunit ribosomal RNA", at positions 523 to 918 of the family's 1533-position model. The record is from RNAcentral.